Molecule: non-coding RNA, 558 nt
Organism: Pelodiscus sinensis (Chinese soft-shelled turtle)
Lineage: Eukaryota; Metazoa; Chordata; Testudines; Trionychidae
Source: RefSeq, a predicted model, not a curated record
GGUUGCAAAACCCAUUUUGCAUCUGCUGGCUGCAUCUUUCCUGACAAUCUCCCAGUCUCCCUUCAUUUCUUGUGUAUUAGCCCUGUUACUCCUGGACUACCUGAGCCCCUCUCACUGUCUUUCCAUGUGACCUGGGAUAAAGAGGGGGGUGGGAGAGAAGAAGGAGGAUUGGAGGGCAUUUGAAGUUUGAUCACGUGACACCCAGAAAGCACACUGUUAAGCCGCAGAACCUGUGAGUCCAGGGCGCAGCACCCCGUCCAGGACAUCCUGCCACACCUGGGCCGUCAGCAGGCUGACCCGGAACCAGGAGGAGUACCAGCAGCAGCACCUGGAGUUCCUGCGAUGGUAGGUCCGUUGCCAGGAGCACUGGGUGCAAGAAGACCUGCAGCUGCAGCGGGAGAGCUUGCGGGAGCUGCUUGACCAGGGGCAUGCCAUGCGUGACCAGCUGCAGACUCUGGUGCAGAUUUUACUGCAUGCUGCUGCUCCAGCCCCUGCGGCCGCCCCAGCUAUCACUCCUCCUCCCACUCUUGGUCCUCCUCCCGCUUUUUCCUCCCCCAC